CCAUGGCACUGGCCGGUGCUAAAGGGUCUCUGCCCCGACAGCACCUGUCAGUAGCCAUUGGGCAGGACCCUUUAGCACCGGCCUUGUUACAAA
This 93-nucleotide microRNA precursor is filed under the name Sorghum bicolor (sorghum). RNAcentral's name for it is "MIR5387 microRNA precursor family". It matches the Rfam family "MIR5387 microRNA precursor family". Lineage: Eukaryota; Viridiplantae; Streptophyta; Magnoliopsida; Poales; Poaceae. The record is from Rfam by way of RNAcentral.